Molecule: long non-coding RNA, 507 nt
Filed under: Oryctolagus cuniculus (rabbit)
Lineage: Eukaryota; Metazoa; Chordata; Mammalia; Lagomorpha; Leporidae
Description: lncRNA (ENSOCUG00000035886.1)
Source: RNAcentral
GGAUCGGUAGGCAGCUAGUUGGGUGUGCAGAGCUCAAGGCCACAAGACACGCCCCCCACACCCGGUCCCCUGUCCCCUGCUAAGUGUCAGUCAAAGCACCCGGCUUCCCAUGAUGCAUCCGGGUGGGUGAAGGCUUCCCAUGAUGCAUCCGGGUGGGUGAAGUCCGGGCGCUCGCUUCCGUCAUGGACCGACAUUAGAGGUGCUGAGCCUGUCUGUUUCGGAUCUCGGAGGGAGGUUGUCCACGCUCUCCUUCUCCUGUUCUCAGACUUUCCCACUUGCAGAUAAUAUCUGGCUGUCCAUUCUACAAUGCGGAGUGAGAACUUUCCCCACCGUCCUUGAUAAAUGUUGCCCAGCUUCCACUGCCAAGAAUGCAUUGUCCAAGAUGCCUGUCUAGUUUGUAAAGAUGGAGCCCACCCUUUGCUGCUUUCAAGUAAGUAUGGAAUGACAUGGUAGUAGGGGUGGGCAGACACAGAGAUGGUGGGAAUAGAAAAUAUGCAUGUAAAAUAA